UUUAAUGUGGCAGAACUUUAACGCGGUAAAUUUAAAAUUUACAGAUGUAGCUUAGGCUUCCUUUAAAA
RNAcentral lists this transfer RNA (68 nucleotides) under Pealius mori. RNAcentral's name for it is "tRNA-Leu". It matches the Rfam family "tRNA". Rfam says of the family: Transfer RNA (tRNA) molecules are approximately 80 nucleotides in length. Their secondary structure includes four short double-helical elements and three loops (D, anti-codon, and T loops). Lineage: Eukaryota; Metazoa; Arthropoda; Insecta; Hemiptera; Aleyrodidae. The record is from RNAcentral.